CAGUUUCUCGAGUUCCUCACAAGCAAAACAUAGUGUACGUUUAACAGACUUAAGAAAGUGAAGUAAUAGUGUGUGAUCGAUUCAAAAAUUAUUUAAUGCAAUGAAGAUGCGCCGUGAUUUCUACAACAGUGGAUUUACCUGCGCCGUUGUGUGGCUGUCGCUGGCUUGUCUGCUGUUCAUCCUCUCGCUAGCAACAAUGAUCACCGCCAAGCCGACCAUCAAUGAGAUUGACAUGACUAGCAAUGCUACAAACGAAACGUACCCACCUAUCAUGUGUCCCGGCAUAAUGGCAUGCCGCUGGGGAUUCAGGCACAAAAUCGAUGAGGUCACCGGCUGUCAAACGUGCUGGGAUCCCUGUUCCAACGUUGAAUGUCCAGAAAACAAGACAUGCGUGCUACAAAUGCGGUGUUUUACAACACCGUGUCCCGCGUUAACUACCUGCGUGAAUAUCACAUUAAUUUUUUAAUCUGCAGGCGAAUCCUUGCAGAUCAUCAAUUCGCAACGACUAUUUACAAUGUGCCAGUUACAGAAAAUGUACACUCUGUACACAUCUAAGGGUCAUUUGUGACCAGAGGUAAACUUCGGAGUUCCAGUUAAAGGAUACACAGAAUUGAAGCCAGUAACGCACAAAACUUAUUUUUUAGAUGCCAAACUUUUUUUAGGAAUAGAAAAGAGACCGAUAUUUAACAAGUUGCUCUUAAUAUUUCAAAAAACAAAAAUAGGCAGGACACGAAUGAUCAAAGGUAUGUAUUAAAUGUUAAAAAUGAUUAAAUAAAUUAUAUGUAAUAAUUAAAAUUUGCUUUUUACUAAAUUAAUAAAUAAUCAACUUAUUAAUGUCAGUUGAUUAUUUAAAAUCGAGCAAACGACGCUCACUUCAUAGACGUUCGAACUUUCAACGAACCGCGAAUAUCCGACAUAACUGUCCGAAAAUCGCAAUGUCCGAAAAAAUAUUAACGUGCAUACCGAUUUACGCUCCGCGACGACCACUCAUUGUUGAACCCGGCACUCCCGACGCGUCCGAAUCCGAGAUACGUUUUUACGAAAUUCGGAACACAACAACUUCACACCGAUGCUCGAAGCUUUGACCUUCGACGCGUCAACUGCAACGGUCGGACGCGACGCAACAGGGCGGAUUCAAAUUGCGUGUGAUCAUCGCACGUACAAAUUUAUGCUGCGACAAUUACUGCCAGAUUCAACACUCCCGAUGCACUAAAUACCUGUUCAAGACGCUCGCGAAACAUCGCAGCAACUUCACUCCGGUUCUAGAAGUUUCGACGCACCAACGGCUCGAGCAACGCCACACUGUUUGCAGGAUUGAUAUCGUGAAAUAUAGAUCGUUUGGCGGUCUCACGUACUAAUUUAUGCUUCAUAAUAAUCCCUUCGAUACUCCUAAUAAUACACUACAGGAAGUGAGGAAACAGUAAGAUCGCGGCACUUCACUCCCGAUGCUUCGAGCGAGCCAACGGUUCGCGAUUUACAAGAAUAGAUUCGCACGCGUCGUUCCACGACAAUCAUUUAUCACUAGAUUUUAUGUUUCCGACAAUCCUGUAACUCAUUCCUCACACGAGGCUCGUUCUGAACGGAAAAAGUACACACGAAACACGGAACGACACGAAACGCGUCAAGUAUGUACUGGCGCGUGCCAGGCAGUGCCAGGCAGUGCCGAGUCGCCCAGCUAACUGACGAGGUGUGACGCGUACUAGACCUUGUGACGUCACGUGCGUCGUACGAUAAUCAUGACCGUUAACAUUUUCAAAAAAUACGGCCGCUGUGUUU
Trachymyrmex septentrionalis is the source of this 1776-nucleotide RNA transcript. RefSeq lists it as uncharacterized. The record is from RefSeq and is a predicted model, not a curated record. The transcript is spliced from 5 exons. NCBI's taxonomy places the organism in Eukaryota, Metazoa, Arthropoda, Insecta, Hymenoptera, Formicidae.